RNAcentral lists this long non-coding RNA (1145 nucleotides) under Gallus gallus (chicken). Its description in RNAcentral is "lncRNA (ENSGALG00010007710.1)". The record is from RNAcentral. Lineage: Eukaryota; Metazoa; Chordata; Aves; Galliformes; Phasianidae.
CGGGGCGCAGCGCAGCGGCGGGCGCACUUCGCCUCCUCCUCGCGAGAGCCGCUCUCCCUCCUCCUCCCGCACAAAGAAGGCCCCGCUCACCCCGUCCGGCCGCGGGGUUAAGGUGUCCCCGAGCCAUGUCCCGCCGCAGCGCUCGGCCGCGCGGUGCCCCCGCCGCUGGGACCCGCCCGGCCCCGGCCCCUCUCGGAGCCUGGCGCCCGCUCAGCGGUAGGUACGCGGCGCUCCGCGUGCGGCGCUUGGCUUUGCUCGUUCUGCUCUGUAGGGAGGCAAGGGUUAAUGAAGGUGGCGAUGGGCGUCCCGCAGAGCCGUGUGCUGAGGAGCGGGAGUUGGAGGGCUGCGCGAGGAGCUCGGUCCUGCAGGGAGCCGUGGCAUCGCUCAGUGUUCCGUGCUGCUUUCUACGGGUCUUCAAUAAAAAGUUACCGUGGAUGCUUUCAAUAAACUCGGCUUGGCUCUUUUCACUCUUUUGCUUUCAGAUGGGUGAGCUUCAGUUGCGUCUCGCAGUCCGCGGGACCGCCAGAAGUUCCUGGUGGGCUGUGAGUGUUUAGGCCGCACCUCAGUGCUGUGCUCAGUGCUCAGUGCCUCACGCUGCUGCCUUCCAAUUAUGAGCUGAACUCAUUGCUCUUCCAAGACACGUCUGGGUAACUGAGUUUGGAUCCCAGCCGAGCCCGGGCUGUGGGAUUUGUUGUAGCGAAGCGCCACGCCUCUCAGAGAAGGAGGGAAAACCCUGCGCAGGGCUCCAUACCUAAAACUGACAAAAUAUAUGCAGCAAAGUAGUAGACUUCAAGGUAUAUAUAGCUGAUAUAAUCAGUAAUAAGUGGUGGAUAGGGUGAACUGGUUGCACAGCCCGCAGGUUUACUUCUUUCUUACUUUUAGUGCUAUUGAACUCACUGAUACUGCUGUCAGUUUUUUCCUUUUCGGCUUAAGCUCCUAACAGCACGAUCAUCUCUGUGAGAUACUGUCUCUCUUCCUCUUGCUGUUGUGAGUCAGGAUCCUUGCUUUCUAGGAAACCACAGUGUGCAGGUCGCUUGUAGAGAUUCUUGAAAGCUUUCUCUCCAGGGCAGAUGGGUGUUGUAUCCCAUCCAUUCCUGUUUAGAAGUCAGCCUCUCAGUUAGGCCUCGAUUAGUUUUGGACUGUGC